Molecule: ribosomal RNA, 451 nt
Filed under: uncultured bacterium
Lineage: Bacteria
Description: partial 16S ribosomal RNA
Rfam family: Bacterial small subunit ribosomal RNA
Source: RNAcentral
GAUGAAUGCUGGCGGCGUGCCUAACACAUGCAAGUCGAGCGGCAGCGGGGGGUGCGUGCACGCUGUCGGCGAGCGGCGAACGGCUGAGUAACGCGUAGGAAGUUGCCCAAAAGUGAGGAACAACUGGAAGAGAGGGUAGAUAAUGCCGCAUAUGGUCUUCGGAUUAAAGGAUCUAUCCGCUUUGGGAGAAGCCUACGUUGGAUUAGGUUGUUGGUAGGGUAAUGGCCUACCAAGGCGACGAUCCAUAGCUGGUCUGAGAGGGUGAUCAGCCAGACUGGAACUGAGACACGGCCCAGACUCCUACGGGAGGCAGCAGUGAGGAAUAUUCCACAAUGGGCGAAAGCCUGAUGGAGCAACGCCGCGUGAAGGAUGAAGGCCUUCGGGUUGUAAACUUCUUUUAUCAGUGAAGAAUAUGACGGUACCUGAUGAAUAAGCCCCGGCUAACUACGUG